Molecule: long non-coding RNA, 738 nt
Organism: Juglans microcarpa x Juglans regia
Lineage: Eukaryota; Viridiplantae; Streptophyta; Magnoliopsida; Fagales; Juglandaceae
Exons: 2
Source: RefSeq, a predicted model, not a curated record
AUACUUGUGUGUAGAUUCAAGGGUUCAACGAUUUUUGUCCAAGAAAAAGAAAAGAAAAACUGGAAAUCUGCUUUAAUAUUAGCUCUAAGAUUGUAUUUUCUUAUUUGGUUCCACCUUUGCCUAAGUAGUUUAUCUGGGUUUGUUUUGCUCAUGGUUUUUUUGUUUGUUUGGAUGAGUUGUGGAGAGAACCAGACAUCAAUCUUUUCUAUGUAUUUCUCUUAUUCAUAUGGUAGCCCAGAGCAGAAAACAUGGAUCUUAAGGAAAUUACAACUUGCCUGACAUGUACUAAAUGACUGAAAUAAAAUAAAAUAUAAUGGCAUUUGACCCAUUUGUUUAUUUUUCAUCACUAUAUGCUUGUAGGUGAUAAGAAGUCUAGGGAUCACAUUCCUACUGCUUGUAAGGACUCUGUGGCAAUUUUGUUCAUGUUUGAUGUAACAAGUCGGUGUACACUAAAUGGGAGAUUCAACAAAUUGCUAGUCUGCCAUUGAUGCCUCACCACAUGUAUGCAAAUGUUCAUCUACAUCAUUGUCUUGCAAAUUAACCACAACAACAAUACUAUGAAGAUAUUGAAGUAGAGGGGAUAGAGAUCCAUCAAUCUUCGUUAGAUGAUGUGUUUCUGCUCACACCUAUCUAAUAAUCUUCUUCCAAAGUUGUGUUUUGUAAUUUAUAUAUUGUAAUUUUGUGUUUUGUAAUGUAAUGUAUAAAUACUAAAUAAUGUAAUAUGUAGUGAAUUGCAUU